GCCGCGGUGGUGUAAUGGUAGCCACGAGAGAUUUAAAAUCUCUUGUUCGAAAGGACGUGUGGGUUCGAGUCCCACCCGCGGCA
This 83-nucleotide transfer RNA is filed under the name Candidatus Staskawiczbacteria bacterium RIFOXYC1_FULL_38_18. RNAcentral's name for it is "tRNA-Leu". It matches the Rfam family "tRNA". From Rfam's summary of the family: Transfer RNA (tRNA) molecules are approximately 80 nucleotides in length. Their secondary structure includes four short double-helical elements and three loops (D, anti-codon, and T loops). The record is from RNAcentral. Lineage: Bacteria; Candidatus Staskawicziibacteriota.